UAACAGUAGGGGAGCCUCUGCGGAAGUGACCUCUCUACAUGAAACGCGUUAGGCAGAACACUAAGAACUCUAAUUUUUGUGGCGGCUGCAGGAGUAGGGGAUAAACCAUGUGACAUGUGUGGGUUUUUGGUAUAACGUUGAACCCAAGGUAUCAAUCUUCGGCAGAACAAUGAGAAUUCUAAUGUAAGUGCAGAAUAUGUCUACGACAAGAAAACGGAAAAGUCUCAAAAUACGUGACCUUCCCUGGGUGAAGCCGAGUCAUACACGGAGGCAAGAAUGGAGGAAAGUCUGACCCUAACGACUACCUGUAGUGAGAAAGAGACCAGAGAAAGCAGGAAAAGCGACGGCUGUAAAUGUGCAGAGGAACGGAGCAAGUGAUGGAGCUACAGCCCAACACAGGGAGAGAUACUUGUGGACGGCUGAACAACUGCUUCAGUGAGUAUGUAACAGCGGAGUGCACAGAGCAGUAAAUGAGCAAUAUUAUACUAUUCUAUUACAUUCCUUUCUAGCCGUGCAGACUGAGGAGGAGACGUAGUGAAGUGAAUACCAGUGGCGGAACUACCGGGGGAGCAGGGGGUGCAGUUGGACCAGGGCCCGCACCCCCUCAGGGCCCCCCGGCAGCUCACGCCCCGCUGAUUUCUGGUUAGAUAAUUGCGUACGGAGGGGGCGGGGCUGCACGUUUCGCACCAGGGCCCGCCCCCUCUAGUUACAUUACUGGUGAAUACAUCAUUACUUGUGACUGAGCUGACACCGAUCUCCUCUUUGAACUGUAGGAUACAAGACAUCUCGGGGCUUCUUUAGCGCAGGGUUUUCCAAGUACAAACUUUACAAAUGUGCUGAAAGAAUAUUUUGGGGGAGCGAUGUCACCUCUUAAUUUUGGUACAUUUGUUUCAUAUACUGACUUUUCUCCAACUUCCACAAGUUCAGUUUUAUUCUUUGUUUCUUCAAAAGCCUCAAUCCUGAAAUGAAAGAAUAACAAAAAUGUAACUAUAUAAUGUACUAUAUAAACUAUAGUAGUACUUAUCUGU
Long non-coding RNA from Xenopus laevis (African clawed frog), 1028 nucleotides. RefSeq lists it as uncharacterized. The transcript is spliced from 2 exons. The record is from RefSeq and is a predicted model, not a curated record. NCBI's taxonomy places the organism in Eukaryota, Metazoa, Chordata, Amphibia, Anura, Pipidae.